AAACAUUUCAUUUACAUAACAAAAGUUAGAGAUACUAGAGAGAGAAAGUGAGAAGAUAAAGAGAAGGAAGAGGAAAUACUUGGAGAAGAGGAAAGCUAGAGCUAAGGAGUUAGAGAGGAGAGUGAAGUCAUAACUAGUGAAUUUGAAGCUUUGAGGUAAGGGGGAUAAUUAUACUUCAUCGAAUAAACUAUAAUUCUUUUUCUACUUAUGGGUCAUAAGUGCUUUCGUGUGAAUUAUGAUUUUUAUAAUUUCUUAUGUGGAUUUUCAUGCUUCUAAUUGAUGGGUAGUUAUAGGUAUGUUGAAUUUUAUGGAAUUGAGGUAUUUAUAUGUUCAAGUUCAUGGUUGAUGUUUGAAAUAAGUUGUUUUGGUGAUUUUUGCUCAAUUAAGUGUAAACCAUGGAUUUGUGAGUGAUUAUUGUUCAAACAUGUUAUUGGGGUUUGAAUUGUUGUGUUGUGUGAUAAGUUUGGAUGAAAUGGUGAAAAUAUGAGUUUUUGGUGAAAAAAAGUUUGAUGUUGAAUUUGUGUCGAAACGAUGUUAUGAAUUCAUGUUUGUAAGUGUUUGAUUGCUUUUUAAUGUAUGUUAACUAAUAACAAAGUUUGGGAAACGAUUUUGGGUCAAUGGGGAUCAAAAUGGGGUUUUUGUGAAAAUUUUGGGUGAGUUCCCAAGAGGAACCCAAAAUUUUGGGUCCUCUAUUACUGGUGAGCUCGCCUGGCGAGCUAGGCUGCUCCAUGACGAGUUACCCAGGACAGAACCCAUGAUUUUGGGCAUCCUGUGCAGUUAGGGUCGUUUCCGGACAUCCCUAAAUGCUUCUUUUGAUGUGUUUAAUUGUUGUUUUCACUUAGAAACCUACUGGAAACAUCAAUUGGAUUGAAUUAAGAUGAUUUUGUGAAAUUAGAAUGAAACUAAGUUGAAAACGAUCAAGAACUCAAAUAAAAUGAGUGUUAUGAUUUGUUUUUUUGUAACAAUGAGCUUAGAAUGAAUAUGUAAGGAGUAUAUGAGCUUUAGACUUGGUUUUACUUUGAAAAUGAAUUUCUUUUUGAAAAAUGAAAAAAUGAGACGAACUUAGUGAAUUUUUGGAUAUAACCGGAAUUGAGCUAUGUUGUUGAUGUGUAUGGACUACUGUGAUUUUAUGUGAUAUAUGAAAAUUCUUUGUUGAUGUGUUUGAGCAUGAAUGCCUUGUUUUGGUGAAUUAUUUGAGAAAAAAAGAUGGUUUUUGUGAAAAUACACGAACUUUGUCAAAAUGAGGUUUUAUGGUCGGAUAACUUGCAAAUGGCUUUGUAUUCUUAAUAAUAGGAUAGAAUAAGAAUGAAACAAUGAUGGUUGGGUGUUUAAUAUGAUGAUAGUCAUGAUGUGGUUAGUUGUCCGUCUUUAUGCAAAAUGUGAUUGUGAAACGUUAUUGUUUCUUUGAGGUGAUAAUUGUUGAUGAUGAUUUCGGAGAUAUUAGUUUGGUGAUUUAUGCAUUAUCGAGCCUUUGCCUAAAGUCCAUGCAUUUAUAGUCAUGUUGAGUCUUAUGAAGAAUGUAAAUGGAGAUGUACUUUUACAUUGCUUUGGUGAAAUAUGUAAGUGGAGGUGUACUCUUACGUGGGCGUGGAUUCAAUACGGCAAAAUUAUCUUCGGAAUCGAAUUGGUACCACAUGCAUCUUGAAGAGUCUAAAACAUUUCAUGCAUUUGAUAGUUGGUGAAAUGUGUCAUACUUGACUAUGUGAAUUGGUGAUUAUGUGCAUUGAUGAGAUUUGUGAAUGUUCGUGAAUAUGUGAAAAGGUGAAUUUGUCCAUAUUGUUUUAUUAUGCUUGUAUGCUUGACGAUUAAUAUUGAUGUGGAAUUCAUUGUGAAAGAUUUAAUUAAAGGUUUAUUGAUCAUUGUAAAAUGAAUAUGUUGCUUUACUUUCAUUUGAUUAUAUAUUAUUUGUGGAAUAUAAUCUAACCUCUAGUGGUCGUUCGGUUGACCACCGUGUCAUUUCAUUGAAUGGUGUAGGUGAUUUGCGGGAUUGAGUUGAUUGCUUUUCUUUGAUGCUUGAGGACUAACUUGGAUGCUUCCUCGUUUUAUUUUUUUUCGUUUAGAGUCUAGAUAAGCUCUGAUGUAGGAGUGCCGGUCUUAUGACCUUGUCUUUUGAUACAUUUUGAUGAGUUAUGUUAACUAUAUUACGAGGAUAAUUGUAUCAUGGUGAUGAAUUUUAUGUGGAAGGACAUAUGGCAUGUUGAGAUUUAUUACCAUUGAUUUUGAGGAUUAUUACUUGGUGAUGAGAUAUUAUGUAUGUUGAAUGUCUUCCGUUGCAAAUUUUUAUGGAAACCAAGUUAUGCAUGUUUUGGAAAAAAAAAAUGUAGACAUAACAUUUAAAUAUCUUGAAUUAUUGAAUUUAUUGCAUGAUUAUAGCUUUCAG
This 2380-nucleotide long non-coding RNA is filed under the name Medicago truncatula (barrel medic). Its description in RNAcentral is "long non-coding RNA (MTRU_LNC004770)". Lineage: Eukaryota; Viridiplantae; Streptophyta; Magnoliopsida; Fabales; Fabaceae. The record is from RNAcentral.